CCUACGGGAGGCAGCAGUGAGGAAUAUUGGUCAAUGGACGAGAGUCUGAACCAGCCAAGUAGCGUGAAGGAUGACUGCCCUAUGGGUUGUAAACUUCUUUUAUAUGGGAAUAAAUGUUCCACGUGUGGUAUUUUGUAUUUACCAUAUGAAUAAGGAUUGUCUAACUCCGUUUCAGCAGCCGCGGUAAUACGGAGGAUCCGAGCGUUAUCCGGAUUUAUUGGGUUUAAAGGGAGCGUAGGUGGAUUGUUAAGUAAUAUGUGAAAGUUUGCGGCUCAACCGUAAAAUUGCAGUUGAAACUGGUAGUCUUGAGUACAGUAGAGGUGGGCGGAAUUCGUGGUGUAGCGGUGAAAUGCUUAGAUAUCACGAAGAAAUCCGAUUGCGAAGGCAGUUCACUGGACUGCAACUGACACUGAGGCUCGAAAGUGUGGGUAUCAAACAGGAUUAGAUACCCUUGUAGUC
Molecule: ribosomal RNA, 459 nt
Filed under: uncultured bacterium
Lineage: Bacteria
Description: partial 16S ribosomal RNA
Rfam family: Bacterial small subunit ribosomal RNA
Source: RNAcentral